This 484-nucleotide ribosomal RNA is filed under the name uncultured bacterium. RNAcentral's name for it is "partial 16S ribosomal RNA". It matches the Rfam family "Bacterial small subunit ribosomal RNA", at positions 30 to 507 of the family's 1533-position model. The record is from RNAcentral.
AUUGAACGCUGGCGGCAGGCCUAACACAUGCAAGUCGAGCGGAAGCAGGGAGCUUGCUCCUGGUUUCAGCGGCGGACGGGGGAGUGAUGCCUAGGAAUCUGCCUGGUAGUGGGGGAGAACGUCCGGAAACGGGCGCUAAUACCGCAUCCGUCCUGCGGGAGAAAGUGGGGGAUCUUCGGACCUCACGCUAUCGGAUGAGCCUAGGUCGGAUUAGCUAGUUGGUGGGGUAAGGGCCUACCAAGGCGACGAUGCGUAACUGGUCUGAGAGGAUGAUCAGGCACACUGGAACUUAGACACGGUCCAGACUCCUACGGGAGGCAGCAGUGGGGAAUAUUGGACCAUGGGCGAAAGCCUGAUCCAGCCAUGCCGCGUGUGUGAAGAAGGUCUUCGGAUUGUAAAGCUCUUUAAGUCGGGAGGAAGGGCAGUAAGUUAAUACCUUGCUGUUUUGACGGUACCAACAGAAUAAGCACCGGCUAACUUCGUG